UUGUUGACAGGAAAUUUUCUUCUUGCAAACUUCUUCGGAUUGGAUAUCAUCAAAGCGUAUUCCUCACUAGUCAGAUCACACUCAGAUAUGUCAGUCUCUUCUUCAUCCUCUGGUUUCUGUUCGAAAGCUCUAAAUUCAGACAACAACAAGGUUUGUAUGGAGUGUUCCUAAUCUUCAUCGAUCGAAUAGAGUUCUUUCAAUCUAUCCCAGAUUUCUUUGGCUGUUGUGCACGAACCAACCAACCGAAAGGUGUCAAACUGCAAGGCGAAUUUGAUCAUCCUCAUGGCCUUUACAUUACAAAGCUAUUUAUCUUUCUCGUCCUGCGACAUCUUGUCUAUGUCCGCCACCAGCUAGUUGUACUCCUUUUGGGACUUGACAGUCCUGCGAAACAGAGUUACUGUCGAUAUGAAGAAGACAACUUCUAUUUAUACGAUAAAAGCGGAAACCCUAAAGUAUUCUGAAUACAGAAUGAAUGUGUAUUGAUCACACAAUCUCCUGCUCUGAUACCAAUUGUUAGAUCAAAGAUNGACUUGACAAUUGUGUUCAUGUGCUUUCACAGUUGACACUAUGACCAUCCAUUCUGAUCUCAGCCCAUUCAUAAAAGUUACUUUCUGCUCGAUCAAUUUCCUCUCUGUUCCAUGCUUGAUCAUCUUACUCAGGAGAUGAUUGAACCGAUCGAAAGUUUGUAUGAGUUUUUCCUCUGGUUUCUGUUCGAAAGCUCUAAAUUCAGACAACAACAAGGUUUGUAUGGAGUGUUCCUAAUCUUCAUCGGUCGAAUAGAGCUCUUUCAAUCUAUCCCAGAUUUCUUUGGCUGUUGUGCACGAACCAACCAACCGAAAGGUGUCAAACUGCAAGGCGAAUUUGAUCAUCCUCAUGGCCUUUACAUUACAAAGCUAUUUAUCUUUCUCGUCCUGCGACAUCUUGUCUAUGUCCGCCACCAGCUAGUUGUACUCCUUUUGGGACUUGACAGUCCUGCGAAACAGAGUUACUGUCGAUAUGAAGAAGACAACUUCUAUUUAUACGAUAAAAGCGGAAACCCUAAAGUAUUCUGAAUACAGAAUGAAUGUGUAUUGAUCACACAAUCUCCUGCUCUGAUACC
RNAcentral lists this long non-coding RNA (1099 nucleotides) under Lactuca sativa (garden lettuce). RNAcentral's name for it is "long non-coding RNA (LSAT_LNC001770)". Lineage: Eukaryota; Viridiplantae; Streptophyta; Magnoliopsida; Asterales; Asteraceae. The record is from RNAcentral.